CUAGAGACGUGGGCCGUGGAGCUGGAGGUGACACUGGAGACGUGGACCGUGGAGCUGGAGGUGACGCUGGAGACGUGGAACUGGAGGAGACG
Molecule: long non-coding RNA, 92 nt
Organism: Melanotaenia boesemani (Boeseman's rainbowfish)
Lineage: Eukaryota; Metazoa; Chordata; Actinopteri; Atheriniformes; Melanotaeniidae
Exons: 3
Source: RefSeq, a predicted model, not a curated record